This 504-nucleotide ribosomal RNA is filed under the name Neotricula aperta. RNAcentral describes it as "partial 16S large subunit ribosomal RNA". It matches the Rfam family "Bacterial large subunit ribosomal RNA", at positions 1817 to 2597 of the family's 2925-position model. Lineage: Eukaryota; Metazoa; Mollusca; Gastropoda; Littorinimorpha; Pomatiopsidae. The record is from RNAcentral.
GGCUCUUUGGAAUAAAUAUAUAAAGAGUCGAACCUGCCCAGUGAUUUUUUUAAACGGCCGCGGUACUCUGACCGUGCAAAGGUAGCAUAAUCAUUUGCCCUAUAAUUGAGGGCUUGUAUGAACGGUUUGACAAGAGCAUAAUUGUCUCUUAAAAAUUUUAUAGAAUUUGGUUUUUAGGUGAAGAAACCUAAAUAUAAUUGAAAGACAAGAAGACCCUAUCGAGCUUUAGAGCAAUUAAUUAAAAAAUAUAAUUAAAACAAUUAAUUUUAAUUAAAAACUUUGGUUGGGGCGACUGAGGAACAUAUAAAGCUUCUUUAAUUAGAAUACGCUUAUAGGCUAUGAUCCAAAAAGUUUGAUUAAAAAAAUUAGUUACCGUAGGGAUAACAGCAUAAUCUUUUUCAAGAGUUCUUAUCGAAAAAAAGGUUUGUGACCUCGAUGUUGGACUAGGAUAUCUCAAAGAUGCAGAAGUCUUUAAUAGUUGGUCUGUUCGACCAUUAAAAUCCU